CACGUAGUUAGCCGUGGCUUUCUGGUUAGGUACCGUCAAGACUUGUUCAGUUACUAACAAAUUUGUUCUUCCCUAACAACAGAGUUUUACGAUCCUAAGACCUUCAUCACUCACGCGGCGUUGCUCCGUCAGGCUUUCGCCCAUUGCGGAAGAUUCCCUACUGCUGCCUCCCGUAGGCGUCUGGACCGUGUCUCAGUUCCAGUGUGGCCGAUCACCCUCUCAGGUCGGCUACGUAUCGUUGCCUUGGUAAGCCGUUACCUUACCAACUAGCUAAUACGGCGCGGGUCCAUCUAUAAGUGACAGCCGAAACCGUCUUUCAACAUUGAACCAUGCGGUUCAAUAUAUUAUCCGGUAUUAGCCCCGGUUUCCCGGAGUUAUCCCAGUCUAUAGGUAGGUUACCCAGUGUACUCACCCGUCGCCGCUAACAUCAGAGAAGCAAGCUUCUCAUCUGUUCGCUCGACUUGCAUGUAUUAGGCACGCCGCCAGCGUUCAUCCUGAGCCAGGAUCUAAAACUCU
Molecule: ribosomal RNA, 516 nt
Filed under: uncultured Staphylococcus sp.
Lineage: Bacteria; Bacillati; Bacillota; Bacilli; Caryophanales; Staphylococcaceae
Description: partial 16S ribosomal RNA
Source: RNAcentral